CAGUAGCCGCGGUAAUACGAAGGGUGCAAGCGUUAAUCGGAAUUACUGGGCGUAAAGCGUGCGUAGGCGGUGAGUUAAGUCUGCUGUGAAAUCCCCGGGCUCAACCUGGGAAUGGCAAUGGAUACUGGCAAGCUAGAGUGUGUCAGAGGAUGGUGGAAUUCCCGGUGUAGCAGUGAAACGCGUAGAGAUCGGAAGGAACAUCUGUGGCGAAGGCGACUAUCUGGGCCAACACUGACACUGAGGCACGAAAGCGUGGGGAGCAAACAGGAUUAGAGACCCGAGUAGUCCCUGUCUCUUAUAC
RNAcentral lists this ribosomal RNA (301 nucleotides) under uncultured bacterium. RNAcentral's name for it is "partial 16S ribosomal RNA". It matches the Rfam family "Bacterial small subunit ribosomal RNA", at positions 509 to 807 of the family's 1533-position model. The record is from RNAcentral.